CAGCCGCCGCGGUAAUACAGAGGGUGCGAGCGUUAAUCGGAUUUACUGGGCGUAAAGCGUGCGUAGGCGGCUUCUUAAGUCGGAUGUGAAAUCCCUGAGCUUAACUUAGGAAUUGCAUUCGAUACUGGGAAGCUAGAGUAUGGGAGAGGAUGGUAGAAUUCCAGGUGUAGCGGUGAAAUGCGUUGAGAUCGGAAAGAACACCAACGGCGAAAGCACUCUGCUGGGCCGACACUGACACUGAGAGACGAAAGCUAGGGGAGCAAAUGGGAUUAGAUACCCCCGUAGUCCCUGUCUCUUAUAC
This 301-nucleotide ribosomal RNA is filed under the name uncultured bacterium. RNAcentral describes it as "partial 16S ribosomal RNA". It matches the Rfam family "Bacterial small subunit ribosomal RNA", at positions 509 to 807 of the family's 1533-position model. The record is from RNAcentral.